AGGUUAUGCUCACGAUUCAAGAACGUACAAUGCAAUGAUGGCAAUACUUGGAAAGACGAGGCAGUUUGAGACCAUGGUCUCGGUUCUUGAAGAAAUGGGGGAGAAAGGUUUGCUUACAAUGGAGACCUUUUUGAUAUCCAUGAAAGCAUUUGCUGCAGCAAAAGAGCGGAAGAAAGCUAUUGGGAUUUUUGAGUUGAUGAAGAAGUACAAGUAUAAAGUUGGGGAUGGAUACAUUUUUGAUCUCCAUGAAAGCAUUUGCUGCGGCAAAAGAGCGGAAGAAAGCUAUUGGGAGUUUUGAGUUGAUGAAGAAAUACAAGUUUAAAGUUGGGGUGGAAACUAUCAAUUGUUUACUUGAUGCCCUGGGAAGGGCA
This 371-nucleotide long non-coding RNA is filed under the name Nicotiana benthamiana. RNAcentral describes it as "long non-coding RNA (NBEN_LNC039015)". The record is from RNAcentral. Lineage: Eukaryota; Viridiplantae; Streptophyta; Magnoliopsida; Solanales; Solanaceae.